GCGGGAGUAGCUAAGCCAGGACAACGGCGCAGGACUUAAGAUCCUGUCUCGAAGGAGUACGGGGGUUCGAAUCCCCUCUCCCGCA
Molecule: transfer RNA, 85 nt
Filed under: Thermoplasmata archaeon
Lineage: Archaea; Methanobacteriati; Thermoplasmatota; Thermoplasmata
Also listed under: 1 other name
Description: tRNA-Leu
Rfam family: tRNA
About the family: Transfer RNA (tRNA) molecules are approximately 80 nucleotides in length. Their secondary structure includes four short double-helical elements and three loops (D, anti-codon, and T loops).
Source: RNAcentral